GCAAGUCGAGCGGUAACAGAACUAGCUUGCUACCAGGCGACGAGUGGCGGACGGGUGAGUAAUACAUAGGAAUCUGCCUUAUAGUGGGGGACAACCUGGGGAAACCCAGGCUAAUACCGCAUACGCCCUUCGGGGGAAAGGCUUCGGCCGCUAUUAGAUGAGCCUAUGUCUGAUUAGCUUGUUGGUGGGGUAAUGGCCUACCAAGGCGACGAUCAGUAGCUGGUCUGAGAGGACGAUC
RNAcentral lists this ribosomal RNA (238 nucleotides) under uncultured bacterium. Its description in RNAcentral is "partial 16S ribosomal RNA". It matches the Rfam family "Bacterial small subunit ribosomal RNA", at positions 57 to 305 of the family's 1533-position model. The record is from RNAcentral.